This 453-nucleotide ribosomal RNA is filed under the name uncultured bacterium. RNAcentral describes it as "bacterial SSU rRNA". It matches the Rfam family "Bacterial small subunit ribosomal RNA", at positions 56 to 510 of the family's 1533-position model. The record is from RNAcentral.
UGCAGUCGAACGGUCUGACAACCGGCCUCGGUUGGUUGCCAGAUAGUGGCGGACGGGUGAGUAACGCGUGGAUAACCUGCCCAUCAGACAGGGAUAACACCGGGAAACUGGUGCUAAUACCGGAUACGUACGUAAGGGGGCAUCCCUUUACGUAGAAAGGCGAUGCAAAUCGCUACUGAUGGAUGGGUCCGCGUCCCAUUAGCUAGUUGGCAGGGUAAUGGCCUACCAAGGCGACGAUGGGUAGCCGGCCUGAGAGGGUGGCCGGCCACACUGGGACUGAGAUACGGCCCAGACUCCUACGGGAGGCAGCAGUGGGGAAUCUUCCGCAAUGGGCGAAAGCCUGACGGAGCAACGCCGCGUGAGUGAAGAAGGCUUUCGGGUCGUAAAACUCUGUCUUGGGGGAAGAAAAAAAUGACGGUACCCCAGGAGGAAGCCCCGGCUAACUACGUGCCA